Molecule: ribosomal RNA, 467 nt
Filed under: uncultured bacterium
Lineage: Bacteria
Description: partial 16S ribosomal RNA
Rfam family: Bacterial small subunit ribosomal RNA
Source: RNAcentral
GAUGAACGCUGGCGGCGUGCUUAACACAUGCAAGUCGAACGGAAAGGCUCCUGCUUGCAGGGGUACUCGAGUGGCGAACGGGUGAGUAACACGUGGGUGAUCUGCCCUGCACUUCGGGAUAAGCCUGGGAAACUGGGUCUAAUACCGGAUAGGACCACAUCUUGGAUGGUGUGGUGGAAAGUUUUUCGGUGUGGGAUGAGCUCGCGGCCUAUCAGCUUGUUGGUGGGGUAAUGGCCUACCAAGGCGUCGACGGGUAGCCGGCCUGAGAGGGUGUACGGCCACAUUGGAACUGAGAUACGGGCCAGAGUCGUACGGGAGGCAGCAGUGGGGAAUAUUGGACAAUGGGCGCAAGCGUGAUGCAGCGACGCCGCGUGGGGGAUGAGGGCCUUCGGGUUGUAAACUCCUCUCGCUAGGGACGAAGCGUUGUUGUGACGGUACCUGGAGAAGAAGCACCGGCUAACUACGUG